This 497-nucleotide ribosomal RNA is filed under the name uncultured bacterium. RNAcentral's name for it is "bacterial SSU rRNA". It matches the Rfam family "Bacterial small subunit ribosomal RNA", at positions 791 to 1285 of the family's 1533-position model. The record is from RNAcentral.
UAGUCCACGCAGUAAACGAUGAGUGCUAGUUAUUGGGACCUUAGGUUUCGGUGGCGAAGCUAACGCGUUAAGCACUCCGCCUGGGGAGUACGGCCGCAAGGCUAAAACUCAAAGGAAUUGACGGGGACCCGCACAAGCAGUGGAGCAUGUGGUUUAAUUCGAUGCAACGCGAGAAACCUUACCAGCCCUUGUAUCCUAGUCGCGAUUUUCAGAGAUGAAUUUCUUCAGUUCGGCUGGACUAGUGACAGGUGUUGCAUGGCUGUCGUCAGCUCGUGUCGUGAGAUGUUAGGUUAAGUCCUUCAACGAGCGCAACCCUCAUCCUUAUUUGCCAUCGGGUUAUGCCGGGAACUAUAAGGAAACUGCCAACGAUAAGUUGGAGGAAGGCGGGGAUGAUGUCAAGUCAUCAUGGCCCUUAUGGGCUGGGCUACACACAUGCUACAAUGGUGAUCACAACGGGUAUGCGAAAGAGCAAUCUGGAGCUAAUCCUUCAAAAGUCA